This 119-nucleotide ribosomal RNA is filed under the name Lepisosteus oculatus (spotted gar). Lineage: Eukaryota; Metazoa; Chordata; Actinopteri; Semionotiformes; Lepisosteidae. The record is from RNAcentral.
ACCAGCAGCCAUAUCAACCUGCAACUCAGAAUUGACAACCCACUGAAGCCCAGCAGGUUUGAACUUGGUCAGUACCUGAAUGGGAGAGCUCCUGGGAAAAACUAAGGUUGCUGCUGGAA